CACUUUUGUACUUGCUGGAUAGACUGCUGCCACACCGGCUGGCUAGAUUGCUCUUAUCUUUUGGCUGUUUUUCUUUUCUUUCUUUCUUUUUUGCUUUCUAUGGUGAUUUCAUGAGAGCCACGUUAACAAGGGCCAGUGGAAAGCUCAGUGGGUGAAAAAAACCUUGCUAUACAAGACUUGGUCGCAUUCCUAGAAUCCACAUUGAAGGAGAGAACCAACUUCCUACUGCUAUCUUAUAGUCUCCAUGCGAGAAGAAAAACUUUGGAUACCAUCAAAAUUGAUCAAGAUUAGAGUUGAAAAAGACAACCCUCUUGACAAGGACAACUGACUGGAAAACUGAUCUCCAGAAGUCCAAGAAUACUAUAUGAGUAGAUACUUAAGAAAACAAGUUCCUAUUCAAGUAAAUAAAUGCUGGAUUUAGAGUUGGAUUUGUCUUUCCUCCCCUAAAAUCUAAACAUGUUGUUUAACUAAACUUUUCAGUUUCUGUAUUAUAUCAAGAAGCCAACUGAUGUAAUACAAAAUAAAUUAAGAAUUUGAAGACCAUCUUUUGUCUUUUCUUGGCUCUUUCUUUCAAGGCCUACACCCUCUCAUAAUUGUUGUUUUCCCAUGGUUGCCUUUCCCAGCAUACAUACAUAUGCAAGCAAACAUUUCUCUGCUAACACUUAUGUUUGAGUCCCAUACAGCCAAUGAAGACCCGCCUUACAACAAUCCCUGGACGCUGCGGAAAUGGAAUUGGGCCAUACCUCCUGGACUGCACUGGAUCCAACUUACUCCAUUUCAACUGACACUCCAGCCAGAGCUUCAAGUACUGGCUUCAGUCAAGUUGAGGAUUUCAACCUAGAUCUUCAAUCAAGCAAACCCCAUCUAACAUGGACUGGAGAUAACCCAUUAGAGACUUUCACUAUACUAACAUUUUCUUCCCACAGGACCCCACAAGGCUACCAUCAUUCCAUUUCAGCAGGAAGUAACUUGGAAGAUGCUACACCCCUUUUCCCCAUUAUUGUCUAUUAGGGUGGUGUAAGCCUAGUUAGGAAUAACUUUCCUAUUGUUUAGGGUUGGGAUUGGAAGGAGGUGUUCAGGUUGGACACCCCUUUCAGAUAACUUUAUUGCUUAGCUGGAAUAGACACAGUUAGGAAGUGCAAUAGCAGAUUAUUGUAUCUUCUUGUAUUUCACCUUUAUGAUUAUUAAUUUUGCAUGUUUUCACCAUUAAGUUUUAAUCCUCUUUUAGUCUAAAAGGGGAAUUGUAGGGAGACAACAUAACCACACUUUCUAAGAGCUGGCUACAGGUGUGCUUAACCACUCCUGCCAGGGCUUGGUCUGGAUGAUGCGUGGAGAGUUCUUAAAGUGUGGCAGGGAUGUGGGAGCUAUCUCUCUGGCCUCCCUAGCUUGCUGCCUCUGGGCUCGCUCUGGCUUGUGCUUGGCCAGUAUUAUUUAAAUAAAGAUAUCUUAACCUGCAAUCUCUCAGUACAGUUUCCUUUAAAGAAUCAUUGCUUAUUUCUCACAUUAGAAGGAGGCAUUUGCAAUUUCAUCCUUUUUAAUAAUCUGUAAAAUAUUUUAUGCUUAUGAUAUGUACACCAACUUGUUUUCUUAUGGGAAGAUUUAUUAUGGUGGAAGAUAUGAAGUUUAGUGUACCAAUAAGUCUUUACUCCAAACUGCCCAAGCCCUUCAGGCACAUGGGCGCUUUCUGCCAGGCUCCCAAGUUCUGCCCGACGCCAUGUUAGAGUUCCAAGUAACACACAGAGACUUAUAUUAGGUACAAAUGCUUCUUGGCCAAUGACUAGGAUUUCUUAUAUGCUAGGUAAGUCUUAAUUAUCAUAAAUCUAUAUAUUUUAUAAGACUUAUUUUAUGUAAGACACCUUCCACUAGCAUCCUCAUCCUGGAAUUACAUGGUGGCUCAGAGCAGAGAGC
RNAcentral lists this long non-coding RNA (1908 nucleotides) under Cricetulus griseus (Chinese hamster). Its description in RNAcentral is "lncRNA (ENSCGRG00015039241.1)". Lineage: Eukaryota; Metazoa; Chordata; Mammalia; Rodentia; Cricetidae. The record is from RNAcentral.